RNAcentral lists this ribosomal RNA (392 nucleotides) under uncultured bacterium. RNAcentral describes it as "partial 16S ribosomal RNA". It matches the Rfam family "Bacterial small subunit ribosomal RNA", at positions 523 to 918 of the family's 1533-position model. The record is from RNAcentral.
AUACGUAGGGGGCGAGCGUUGUCCGGAAUUAUUGGGCGUAAAGGGUUCGCAGGCGGUCUGAUAAGUCAGAUGUGAAAGGCUAUGGCUUAACCAUAGUAAGCAUUUGAAACUGUCAGACUUGAGUUAAGGAGAGGAAAGUGGAAUUCCUAGUGUAGCGGUGAAAUGCGUAGAUAUUAGGAGGAAUACCAGUGGCGAAGGCGACUUUCUGGACUUAAACUGACGCUGAGGAACGAAAGCGUGGGGAGCAAACAGGAUUAGAUACCCUGGUAGUCCACGCCGUAAACGAUGAGUGCUAGGUGUUGGGGGUCAAACCUCGGUGCCGCAGCUAACGCAUUAAGCACUCCGCCUGGGGAGUACGUACGCAAGUAUGAAACUUAAAGGAAUUGACGGGG